RNAcentral lists this ribosomal RNA (423 nucleotides) under Boana cinerascens group sp. ABGD cluster 20. RNAcentral's name for it is "partial large subunit ribosomal RNA". It matches the Rfam family "Bacterial large subunit ribosomal RNA", at positions 1834 to 2457 of the family's 2925-position model. Lineage: Eukaryota; Metazoa; Chordata; Amphibia; Anura; Hylidae. The record is from RNAcentral.
CUCGAACUAUCAUGAGAGGUACAGCCUGCCCAGUGACCCAAUGUUCAACGGCCGCGGUAUCCUAACCGUGCGAAGGUAGCGUAAUCACUUGUUCUUUAAAUGAGGACUAGUAUGAAUGGCAUCACGAGGGUUAUACUGUCUCCUUUUUCCAAUCAGUGAAACUAAUCUCCUCGUGAAGAAGCGAGGAUUAUUUUAUAAGACGAGAAGACCCUAUGGAGCUUUAAACUAACCAGCAUUUGCUAUAUUAUAUAAUUUUUCAGAAAUAUAAAAAACAGCUUAGCUCUUUGACUAUAAGUUUUCGAUUGGGGUGAUCACGGAACAAAAAAUAACUUCCGUGCCGAAAGGACUAUUCCUGAGCCAAAAGUGACAACCUUAAGCACUAAAAAAUUAACGCUUAUUGACCCAAUAAUUUGAUCAACGAAC